Molecule: ribosomal RNA, 492 nt
Filed under: uncultured bacterium
Lineage: Bacteria
Description: partial 16S ribosomal RNA
Rfam family: Bacterial small subunit ribosomal RNA
Source: RNAcentral
AGUGAACGCUGGCGGUAGGCCUAACACAUGCAAGUCGAACGGCAGCACAGUAAGAGCUUGCUCUUACGGGUGGCGAGUGGCGGACGGGUGAGGAAUACAUCGGAAUCUACUUUUUCGUGGGGGAUAACGUAGGGAAACUUACGCUAAUACCGCAUACGACCUACGGGUGAAAGCAGGGGAUCUUCGGACCUUGCGCGAUUGAAUGAGCCGAUGUCGGAUUAGCUAGUUGGCGGGGUAAAGGCCCACCAAGGCGACGAUCCGUAGCUGGUCUGAGAGGAUGAUCAGCCACACUGGAACUGAGACACGGUCCAGACUCCUACGGGGGGCAGCAGUGGGGAAUAUUGGACAAUGGGCGCAAGCCUGAUCCAGCCAUACCGCGUGGGUGAAGAAGGCCUUCGGGUUGUAAGGCCCUUUUGUUGGGAAAGAAAAGCAGCAGGUUAAUACCCCGCUGUUCUGACGGUACCCAAAGAAUAAGCACCGGCUAACUUCGUG